UGCCCUGAAAGAGUCACAGCUCAGAGAGGC
This 30-nucleotide non-coding RNA is filed under the name Rattus norvegicus (Norway rat). The record is from RNAcentral. Lineage: Eukaryota; Metazoa; Chordata; Mammalia; Rodentia; Muridae.